AGCAGUGUGGCUCAGUGGAAAGAGCCCAGGCUUGGGAGUCAGAGGUCAUGGGUUCGAAUCCCAGGCUCUGCCA
This is a non-coding RNA of Ornithorhynchus anatinus (platypus), 73 nucleotides long. NCBI's taxonomy places the organism in Eukaryota, Metazoa, Chordata, Mammalia, Monotremata, Ornithorhynchidae. The record is from Rfam.